UACGGAGGGUGCAAGCGUUAUCCGGAUUUAUUGGGUUUAAAGGGUGCGCAGGCGGGGCCUUAAGUCAGUGGUGAAAUCCCUUCACUUAACGAAGGAACUGCCAUUGAUACUGAGGUUCUUGAAUCUAGUUGACGUUAGUGGAAUGUGUCAUGUAGCGGUGAAAUGCUUAGAUAUGACACAGAACACCGAUCGCGAAGGCAGCUAACGAAGCUAGUAUUGACGCUCAGGCACGACAGCAUGGGGAGCAAACAGG
This 253-nucleotide ribosomal RNA is filed under the name uncultured bacterium. RNAcentral's name for it is "partial 16S ribosomal RNA". It matches the Rfam family "Bacterial small subunit ribosomal RNA", at positions 524 to 776 of the family's 1533-position model. The record is from RNAcentral.